AUGAAACUGGUACGGCUCUUUGUGAUGAUGAGAAUUGGGAGCAUAUAUAAACUCAUUGUCAGGCAAGUGAUCAGCUCAUUAUCGAUCAAACCAAUUGAAGCUAGCAUUUACGAAGCUUUCUCUCUAUCGUAUAUAUAUUUUGUUAGAGCCUGCAGACAAAUCAUGUCAGUUUCAUUAGAAGCUUUAGCAAUGGCGGGUACAGACUACCGUUCAAUUGCUAUGACUGUGGAAGAAUGGGAGCGCUGCGACUUGGAGCUGUCUCCUCCACAUUUACUAGCGGAAGAUGAAGAAGAAAAAGAUGAGAGACAAUUCGAGGAACAAGUAAUGGGAAAAGAAACUAAGAAAGGGAGAGAAGGAGGAAAUUUCCCAACGCCCAUUUCCUGCUGA
This 387-nucleotide long non-coding RNA is filed under the name Prunus dulcis (almond). Its description in RNAcentral is "sRNA ncRNA". The record is from RNAcentral. Lineage: Eukaryota; Viridiplantae; Streptophyta; Magnoliopsida; Rosales; Rosaceae.